GGAACUUGGAGAAAUGGGAUAUGAAGUGAAUGCUGCAGUUACCACAGUAUCAUAUUUAUCAAAAGGCUUAAGAAUGGUUCACGUAUGAAGAACCUUGAACUACUUUUAAACAAGUCUGCAAGUGCUACUGCCUCCUGUUGAGCUAAAAUCACGCAUGACGUAUUGGUGAAAUUCUAAGGAGACACCCACUGUAACACCUGGGAGGGGAAGAAGAAACAAGGGUUAUUCCUCUACUGCUCAGAGAGAGUCCUAAAUGCAGUUGUACAACAGUGGUAACAGACCAAAACAGCAUCC
This is a long non-coding RNA of Tyto alba (common barn owl), 294 nucleotides long. RefSeq lists it as uncharacterized. The record is from RefSeq and is a predicted model, not a curated record. The transcript has 3 exons. Lineage: Eukaryota; Metazoa; Chordata; Aves; Strigiformes; Tytonidae.